This 573-nucleotide ribosomal RNA is filed under the name uncultured bacterium. RNAcentral describes it as "partial 16S ribosomal RNA". It matches the Rfam family "Bacterial small subunit ribosomal RNA", at positions 355 to 921 of the family's 1533-position model. The record is from RNAcentral.
UGGGGAAUUUUGGACAAUGGGCGCAAGCCUGAUCCAGCCAUGCCGCGUGCGGGAAGAAGGCCUUCGGGUUGUAAACCGCUUUUGUCAGGGAAGAAAUCUUCUGAGUUAAUACCUCGGGAGGGUGACGGUACCUGAAGAAUAAGCACCGGCUAACUACGUGCCAGCAGCCGCGGUAAUACGUAGGGUGCAAGCGUUAAUCGGAAUUACUGGGCGUAAAGCGUGCGCAGGCGGUUUUGUAAGACAGAGGUGAAAUCCCCGGGCUCAACCUGGGAACUGCCUUUGUGACUGCAAGGCUUGAGUGCGGCAGAGGGGGAUGGAAUUCCGCGUGUAGCAGUGAAAUGCGUAGAUAUGCGGAGGAACACCGACGGCGAAGGCAGUCCCCUGGGCCCGCACUGACGCUCAUGCACGAAAGCGUGGGGAGCAAACAGGAUUAGAUACCCUGGUAGUCCACGCCCUAAACGAUGUCAACUGGUUGUUGGGAAGGUUCCUUCUCAGUAACGUAGCUAACGCGUGAAGUUGACCGCCUGGGGAGUACGGCCGCAAGGUUGAAACUUAAAGGAAUUGACGGGGUCA